This 883-nucleotide long non-coding RNA is filed under the name Pogona vitticeps (central bearded dragon). Its description in RNAcentral is "lncRNA (ENSPVIG00000008683.1)". The record is from RNAcentral. Lineage: Eukaryota; Metazoa; Chordata; Lepidosauria; Squamata; Agamidae.
GCCAGAUUUCAUUGUUCACUACUACAUAACCCAUCUUCAGUACAAGAUCUAAACUACAUAAACCCAUAUCAUUACAGGAGGAACAUAGAGCUACGAAGGCGAAGGAAGAGCCCCUCCCCUUGGACGCCCUUUCAACGGGAGCCGGAAGAAGCGGGGAUCCUGCAGCGCCUGCCUCUUCCCCUUCGGCCCAAGAAAGGCGCCUGGAGGAGAGAAGCGGGGCUUUUGGGCCGCCUCCUGGAUCGGGACCUGGACGGAGGAAGGGGUGAGACUCAGCUGAUUGCUCUUUGCUGUUUUUGGACCCAAAAACCAAUAACCAAAUCCCAGAUCCCUCCAACAUUUGCAAGGUAAGCGAGAUUUCAAGAGGUGGCUUAAGCAGCCGUGCCACACACUCUCUCCUCUCAGUUUCCCUGGCCCAGCAGAGAUUUGAAUCCUGGUCUCCUGGUUUCCAGUCUGGUACUCAUCCACAUCACCACGCUGCCUGUCUGAAGAUGUGCUGAGUGGUGGUGUUUGGUUUGCUUUGCACAUUAUUUAGGUUGUGUGUUUUUUUUUAAAUGAUCUCGAUCCUGCUCACCCCAACCCCAUGCUCACCAAGGGCAGGUCCUCUUGAUAAGAGGCAAACCUUGGUCAUCCUAAUUUGCAGUGUGGGGUUUUCCCCCCUGAACAGACAAGCCACACUGGGAAUUUUGCUUUACGCCCUCCAUCUGUACUUCAGAGUCCUAUGAUAAUUGAUUAACAGGUGUCAUGAACCCAGUUCCCCUGUUUGUUUCUCCACAUAACCCAGGUUCACUUUUGGAUGUGACAGUUAUUUUUCAGCCUUUCCCGCUGCUACCAGAGGAGAUAUUCCUCACUCUAUCAAAUAGGACUCUUCAAUCAGUGUGAUUCA